UCCCCUAACCAUAUAAAAUUUAUAUCUUCCACAAACCCUAGACCUUAACCUAGCCGUGCCACCCCUUUCUCCAUCCUCUUGCCGCCGCCAGACCCGCUAAUCUGCACCAAACCCGCCAAAAAAUCAAGCCCACUCCCCCACGUAGUCCCCCUCAUCUCUUUCUGCCAUGUAGCCUAACAAACUUCUGACAAUCGAAUCUUCUUCAACCUCACCGCAUGCAUUUUAGAUUUCCCUUGGACGGAUUUUGGAUCAAUGGGAGACGUAAGAUUUGGGUGCCUUAAAUCCUACCCUUCCAUUUGUCUAGAUUUGGUCUAGAAGAGUAAAUUUCGUUUUUGUGGGGAGUUUUCGGAUUUUUGAAAAAAAGUUUUGGAUUUCUGGGAGGAGAAGAAUAUAAACUUCGAGAGUUCUUAUAAAUAUUCUCAUUUUUGGAAUUUUUCGGGGGAUUUUGCAUAGAAUACUUGGGAAAAAAGGGAGAAGGGAGAAGAAAAGUUUUAGAUUUUUUUUUCAAUUUUCAGAUUUUUCUAAGUUUAGUUUGAAUUUCAGAAAAAUGAAAAUAUAAAAAAAAGUAUUUUGAGUUUAGAUUCUUGUUCGAGUUUUGUUUCCAUUUUGAAAAAAAUCAGAAAAUACACAAAAAUAUUUGAGCUACUUUUUCUUAUUUGAUUUGGGUUUCAAAUAUGGAAUCUGAUUGAGCCAAGGUUGUUUCGAAUUUUCCACUGCGGUCGAUUGCCGUUCGAGUUUUCCGGUCUGGGUUCGCGAUUCCUAUUUGACAUUUGUCGUUGUUUUCUUUUCACUGGGAUUUUCGAUUCAAAGCUUUGUAGCCGAAUUUCUACUUUCUACUAUUAAGAAGAAAUUCACAUUUCUCAGGUUCAUCUCUCUAUUCUUUUGUUUAUUUGCUGUUACUAUUGUGAAUCCAAGCAUUGGAAGAUCUAUUUUAAGAUGGGGAUUUGAAUUACACAUGAUAUAGACCAGUGUUGGUUCCAUGCGUUGGUACGUUUAGACCAGGUACCAGGGCAUCCGAGUGAGAGUUGUUCCUUCCUUCAGAGCAUUUCCGGAGUUAGCAAGGUGCCAGGGUCCGAGUGAGAGCUGUUCUUUCCUUCAGAGCAUUUCCGGAGUUAGGAAGGCAGCUACACGGCUUCUGCAGCCUUGCCUUUCUCGUUCCUAUCUUUUAGUAUUUGUUUUUAUCAGACUCCUCUUGUAUUGAGUAGACAUACCAGAUUGUAUUUUAGUGGCUCAUGACUAGCGACAUCGGGAUCGGGCUGUGGUUGAUGUUUCGCAUAUUGUUUCCGCUUGUUUUGAAAUGUUUAAACGAAAGAUUGGUGAUAAUAUCUUAUUAGUAAAUGAAUUAAGAAAAGACCUAUUUAUGUUGUAAAUGUCGAAUAGGCUAGCCUAGUAUUGCGAUAGGCGACAUCACGACCGGGGUGAUUUAGGGUCGU
Nicotiana tabacum (common tobacco) is the source of this 1433-nucleotide non-coding RNA. The record is from RefSeq and is a predicted model, not a curated record. Lineage: Eukaryota; Viridiplantae; Streptophyta; Magnoliopsida; Solanales; Solanaceae.